AUCUUAGUUGCCAGCACGCACAGGUGGGCACUUUAAGAUGACUGCCGGUGACAAACCGGAGGAAGGUGGGGAUGACGUCAAAUCAUCAUGCCCCUUAUGGCCUGGGCUACACACGUACUACAAUGGUCGGUACAACGGGAAGCGAAGGAGCGAUCCGGAGCCAAUCCUCAAAAGCCGAUCUCAGUUCGGAUUGCAGGCUGCAACUCGCCUGCAUGAAGUCGGAAUUGCUAGUAAUCGCGGAUCAGCAUGCCGC
RNAcentral lists this ribosomal RNA (253 nucleotides) under Paenibacillus larvae subsp. larvae. Its description in RNAcentral is "partial 16S ribosomal RNA". It matches the Rfam family "Bacterial small subunit ribosomal RNA", at positions 1108 to 1360 of the family's 1533-position model. Lineage: Bacteria; Bacillati; Bacillota; Bacilli; Caryophanales; Paenibacillaceae. The record is from RNAcentral.